AUGCACCUACGGGAGGAGCAGUGGGGGAUAUUGCACAAUGGGGGAAACCCUGAUGCAGCGACGCCGCGUGGGCGAAGAAGUAUUUCGGUAUGUAAAGCCCUAUCAGCAGGGAAGAAAAUGACAGUACCUGACUAAGAAGCCCCGGCUAACUACGUGCCAGCAGCCGCGGUAAUACGUAGGGGGCAAGCGUUAUCCGGAUUUACUGGGUGUAAAGGGAGCGUAGACGGCUGCGCAAGUCAGAAGUGAAAGCCCGGGGCUCAACCGCGGGACUGCUUUUGAAACUGUGUAGCUAGAGUGCAGGAGAG
RNAcentral lists this ribosomal RNA (305 nucleotides) under uncultured bacterium. Its description in RNAcentral is "bacterial SSU rRNA". It matches the Rfam family "Bacterial small subunit ribosomal RNA", at positions 333 to 656 of the family's 1533-position model. The record is from RNAcentral.